Mus musculus (house mouse) is the source of this 303-nucleotide long non-coding RNA. RefSeq annotates it as RIKEN cDNA 1700040P09 gene. NCBI's taxonomy places the organism in Eukaryota, Metazoa, Chordata, Mammalia, Rodentia, Muridae. The record is from RefSeq and is a predicted model, not a curated record. The transcript has 2 exons.
CCCGCAGCGAUCUGCAGGAGGCCAACGACUGCGAACUGCGUGGACCUGAGCUGGCAUUUGGCCAGGACAAUGGGAUUAACUUCCCAAGCGCUGGCCAAAAAGGGCCCUGGGAUUUUUAUUUUUAUUCGUUUUCCAUUACAACUGCACAGCAACGCAAACAAAGCCCCAAACAAGGAGGAAGAUUUGACUGUCAGGAGGAGCUGGUGACCUCAUUCUGUCAUUCUGUUCUUGGGGCCACUGAAGGGAGGAAGCUGGCUCUGCCGGGAGCAGGUGCUCACAAUCUACAUCUUUUGUGGGAACGUC